GAUGAACGCUGACAGAAUGCUUAACACAUGCAAGUCGAUGGGGAAGUGGUGCUUGCACCAUGGUAACCAUGGCGGACGGGUGAGUAACGCGUAAGGAACUUGCCUGCGGGACUGGGAUAACAGCAGGAAACUGCUGAUAAUACCGGAUAAGGUCAUUAAGCUGCAUAGCUUAGUGAUGAAAGGAGACGCCUGCGGAGAGCCUUGCGUCCUAUUAGCUAGUUGGAGGGGUAACGGCCCACCAAGGCGAAGAUAGGUAGCCGGCCUGAGAGGGUGGACGGCCACAAGGGGACUGAGAUACGGCCCUUACUCCUACGGGAGGCAGCAGUGGGGAAUAUUGGACAAUGGGGGCAACCCUGAUCCAGCAAUUCUGUGUGCACGAAGACGGUUUUCGGAUUGUAAAGUGCCUUCAGCAGGGAAGAAGGAAGUGACGGUACCUGCAGAAGAAGCGACGGCUAAAUACGUG
This 463-nucleotide ribosomal RNA is filed under the name uncultured bacterium. RNAcentral's name for it is "partial 16S ribosomal RNA". It matches the Rfam family "Bacterial small subunit ribosomal RNA", at positions 28 to 507 of the family's 1533-position model. The record is from RNAcentral.